RNAcentral lists this long non-coding RNA (483 nucleotides) under Anser brachyrhynchus (Pink-footed goose). RNAcentral's name for it is "lncRNA (ENSABRG00000010832.1)". The record is from RNAcentral. Lineage: Eukaryota; Metazoa; Chordata; Aves; Anseriformes; Anatidae.
UAGGCACCGUGGGGGAAGGCUCUUACACCACUAUGCCAGCUAAAGAUUGAAGAAGGAUCUGCACAGCAUCCCGCCUUGAGGCACGCUCUCGAUGGUCAGUGCAGCCUCAGCCCAUCUGCUGACAGCUCUGCAGCCUGCUCCUGGACCAGAUGAACAGCUAUUGCCAUCUACUGUUGGAAAAACCAUCAGCAGCAGGAGCCUAUCCGACUGCCCGCCUUCAGAGCACAGCCAAAAUGUAGAAAACAGAUGAUCAAGCCGUAGCAGAGCAGCUUACUCCAUCGAAAACUGAACUACAAGAUUCAACUGAACAAGGAGAGGCAGAAAAGGAGUCUCUUACUCCUAAAUCACUCUCGCUUUAUGUCUGGUAUACCUGGGAACUAUGCAUAAAUCCAGACUUCAACAACUGUUCUUUUUGAACGGAUCAGUUUGUAAAAUUCCCCCAAGUUCUGUGGCUGGAGUCGAAUCACACAAAGUAAAAGAUUA